This 439-nucleotide ribosomal RNA is filed under the name uncultured bacterium. RNAcentral describes it as "partial 16S ribosomal RNA". It matches the Rfam family "Bacterial small subunit ribosomal RNA", at positions 339 to 795 of the family's 1533-position model. The record is from RNAcentral.
CUACGGGAGGCAGCAGUGAGGAAUAUUGCACAAUGGGCGAAAGCCUGAUGCAGCAACGCCGCGUGGAGGAUGACGCAUUUCGGUGUGUAAACUCCUUUUAUAUGUCAAGAAAAUGACGGUAGCAUAUGAAUAAGCACCGGCUAACUCCGUGCCAGCAGCCGCGGUAAUACGGAGGGUGCAAGCGUUACUCGGAAUCACUGGGCGUAAAGGACGCGUAGGCUGUUUAGCAAGUCAGAUGUGAAAUCCAAUGGCUCAACCAUUGAACUGCAUUUGAAACUGCUAGACUAGAGUAUGGGAGGGGGAGAUGGAAUUAGUGGUGUAGGGGUAAAAUCCGUAGGUAUCACUAGGAAUACCUAAAGCGAAGGCGAUCUCCUGGAACAUUACUGACGCUAAGGCGUGAAAGCGUGGGGAGCAAACAGGAUUAGAUACCCCUGUAGUC